Molecule: long non-coding RNA, 586 nt
Organism: Copidosoma floridanum
Lineage: Eukaryota; Metazoa; Arthropoda; Insecta; Hymenoptera; Encyrtidae
Gene: smash
Source: RefSeq, a predicted model, not a curated record
GGUGUGCCGAUUUCGAGGAACUGUGAUUUUUUUUUUUCCUCCGACCACGGCGAGAACGACGACUCCCGUCUACGGUGUGACGUUUUUUUUGGAGCAUCGGACGCAGAAGGAGACCCACGCAGGCUGCAGUACAUCAUAAAGGUGAGGAUCAUCAGACGACGUCGUCACUGGGCCACAAUGUCACAAACAGCCAACGAGUAAGUGAGCCGGUCGAGGGCUGGGCGUAGGAUGGGCCCGAGCGCAGGAGUUUCCGUGCUCAAGGUGGCGGAAGCAGCAGCAGCAGUGCAGGUCGUCAUAGUGGUGUGAUCGUCCAUUGUGAUCGACUGAUGCGUCAGCCUGCAGCGGCAAAGCUGUAGGAAGGAAGAGAAAAAGAAUUAAAAAAAAAAUAUAUACAUAUAUAUAUACGUGUUUAUCUGGUACAUACAAACGGAGCUGCACGACAACGCGAGCGAUUGAAACAUUGCGCUGAAGCUGAGAGCGAGAGGAGGUGGGGAGGCGGCCGUGGUGGAGACUGAGGAGGAUACCAUGCCGUCCUCGGCGGAGAGCGCCGCCACCGAGCGGCAUAACGACAGGACGGUGAGUUUGG